ACAGCGGUCGGUGUCACGGGGGGGCGGGGGGAGAAAGAGGGGGAGAGAAAGAAAGAAAGAAAGGUGGGAGAAGUGAACACAAAAGGAGAGGCGAGAAAGGAGAAGUUGCUCUUGGGCAAUGGGCACAGCCGUCUACCUUUUCCGUGCUGAGCACAGGCCGAGCCAUUCAGCUCCAAUUGUCAUUAUCAUAUUGAUUAAGUUCAUCAGAGAGCAAUUUUAGGUUUAACGCCAGCGGAUUGGGAGAGGGAGCAAAGAAUUAUCUAAGAAAAGCACAACAUUCUUACCUCAGGGACGUUUCCCUGUUCCAGUUCAUUGAGGGAGUUGAUUAAGUUUAAAUGAAGCAGACACUGGAUAAAAGUAAGGGUAUUGACCACUGGGCAGCGCGGUCUGCGCUUGAAAAGGCCUGAUACAUGCAGAAAAGCAAGAUUUGCUAAAUGCUCUAAUCUUCAAUCAAAUCUUACAUCAAUACAGACAAAGUUUGGUAAUGAGAGAUUCAAUGAAGCAUGCGGGAGAAAGAAUUAAUCCUCUUGGUCUAAACUGGGUUCAACUUUGAAGCCUGCUCCGAAGGAAAGACAGUUAUCUAAAUGCUAAAUAAGAAACUUAUUGUACUUUUCAUGGCAUGCUAAUCUUUUGUCUAUUUCAUCUCUAUUAUUUGUAUGCUUAUAGGCGGCAGUUGUCAUGGUGAUUAUAUCAAACCACUUCUGUGUGGAUGGCUGCGAGGAAUCGGGGCCUCCCUCCAGCCGUCCGCCGGGGCCAGCCCGCCCGCCCGCUGCUCUGCGCGCCCGCGGCAGCGCCCCGCGCCCGCGGCCGGCCCCGCACCGGCCCCGCCGCUCGGCCCGCGGGGACACGGGCGGGGCAGAAAUCGCCUCCCUGGCAGCUUUUUGGCAACACCGGCCCCUUCCUCCCUCCCCUGCGUCACCCAAACCGCAGGGAUCUCCUUCUAUGAAGAGUUCCAUGAAGAGGUACCUUUUUCUCCCCCUUUUCUCUCUUUUUUUUUUUUUUUUUUUUUUUUUUUGUGAGCUUGCCUUGAUAAGCUUUUGAUGUCACAAAUCAAACACUCGCCAGGAGGUAGAUAAUGGGGAGUGUGAUCUCCUCUAUUUGUACAUAGACAGCGCUUUUGCACCGGCGCUGCCUUGAACCCGUGUCAAACUCCCCGGGCUUUGCUGGACUCUGCCCGCCGCCCCGGCCCGCCCCGCCGGAGGGGCCGCCCCGCUGCCCGCCCGUCCCACCGGGACUCGCGGCUGCCCGGGGCCGGGGCAGCCCCUGACAAGGGGAACUCAGAUUCCUGUUAUGCAAAUACCGAGGGCACAUUAACUCCUCUCCAUCACUCCGAUAGGAGACUAAACUCUGGAGCACCGGAAUAAAACAAACGACUCCUCCUCUCAGAAGGUAUCUGACUUUGUACCGAUGCGCUUGCAGUUAGCUCCGCGCUGACUCUCGUUUCAUCUGUCAGUUAUCCUUUUCCCGGGCUUGUCAACCGCGGUUUUAUAGAUUCACUUGUGAUCUGCAUCCUUCCUCAACAGGAACAUGCAGCCAGGUCGCAAUUAAAUAUACAGAUACACGAGCUGUUAGCAAGAUUGCACCCUCCCAUCCGCAGCCGAGCCGCGGAGAUGAUUGCCCUGUCACUUCUCCUUUAGACUUAAAGCGCCUAAAAGGUCGCCGGCGGAGCUCCGCGUUCGGUAGCCCGGCGCUCGCUUUGUCCGCCCCUUCUCGCCCCCGUGGCUCCUCUGAAGCCCUCGCUGCCGGCGGCGCCCCGCACCGCCCCGCACGGAGCGCUCCUCGGCCGCGCACGGGGCUCGGUCAUGGGUUUGGCCGCUCUCGGGGCUCCCCACGGUGGGGAAAGCGGGAGAAGGAUGCAGACGUGCCCCGUCGAGGCCCAGAGCUGCCGGGCAAGCGGCGCUCUGCCACCAGCGCCGGCAGCGGCACCUCCUCCGGCCGGCCGGGCGUGCUGUACGGAGCCGGUGCAAAUGGACGCUCCCGAUGGAACCAGCUCUGCAGUCACGCUUACGACCAGAGGGAGAGCAAGACGGCCCUUCGUUGAGGAAGCGAGUGUGAAAACCCUUCUACUAGUUUAAAAUGCUUUCCUACUUCUACAGCUGCCCGCACCAUAAGGAGAUCAUACUAAACACUAACAACUGGAACCACUUCAAUUAGACCACUAAAACAAACACCCUAUUUUAUAAGUCUAAUUUUACUUUUUUAUGUUUUAAGCACCAUUAAAUUCAUAAAACAACCCCCACAAAACUGUUUAAUCGAACUCAGAAAAAAAAAUAAAUUACAAUGUUACAAAGCAAGUAACUUCAAUUCUACUCGCCAGUUCCAGCGUGGACAGUCAGCACUGUCACCACAGGGAAGACCUUAAAACCCGGCAAACCCCACUACCAUUUGAGAAGCAAUAAAUACAGCCUGGGCUUGACCAAGAAGACAUCAGGCAGAACGGGGAUACCACUUUCUGUACUUCUAACUCAUCAGAAUCGUUGUAUUAACUUGGAAUUGGAAUGAAACUUGCUAAAAUAACCAGGUCCCAAGACAGUAACAUCUUAACCAAAAAAACCCACCCUCCUUCUACACCUGUAGAGGAAGCAGCAGGCUGGGCAGGGCGUGAAGCAUGGGUGGAGCAAGUUUCCUGCAAGAAACAGGACAAACUGACACAGUGCCAUUCAGUGCCACAUUUGAGUGGCCUUCAGCUCCCGUCGUCCUGCCACUGUAUCACAAAAACUCUGCACACCAGCGACGGGACAGUUAUCCGAUAGUGUCCUUGAAGGAAGAGUCCCAGCCUUCUCACCAAGCAGACGGAAAGCGUCGGUGUUGCUCAGUGAGGGUUGCUCAGUGAUGCCUGCCCAAGCUGUAAUCUGGUUAGCAAAACAGUACCAGGGCGUUCUGGGAAUAGGAGCCUCACCUUGCCCUUGAAAUGGCCACACACCGUACCCGCUGCUGCGCUCCUGUGGCUGUAUGUGAUGCACCUACACAGCAUUUCUGCCGGGAUCAGGGCAGGAACUAUCUGCCCUGCUGUGUUGUUAGUUCCUCCCCCGUCACCUGCUUUAGAUUUUAAGAUAAUUUGAUAUACCACAGAUAUAUCCAAGCCUUCAUCAGGCACUGAUUAAAUUGUUCAACUUCACCAAGUAGGCUUGAUUAACCACAAACUUGGAGCUGGAUGUGACCUUCAUAUGGGCACCACAAGCCUACAUAUGAAUAGGAAAGCCUACCUGCAGGCUGGCGGGAGGGUGGCAAAACGGAGCCUGCAGGAGCACAACCUCCCCCCAGUCUCCCUGAGCCCCCUUGGGCACAGAGGCUGCUCAGGCUUCUCAGAAAGCAACCACUUACAGGAAAGCAACACCCUCGGAGGCUCAUAGGCCCGAGGACUGGUCACCUGCUGGUCCAGAGCCCGUCAAAGUCAGAAAAGAUUUUCAGAAAUGGGCAGGCAUCUCUUUGGCUCGCAGGAGGUGUUUUUCACCACGGGCAGGGCAGAGAGCUUACCACUCCCAGCCAGGCUGCACUGAGGUUAGGUCUUGGGGGUUUUGUUACCGGGGUGGGAUAGCUUUGCCACAGCUUCUCCAGGCUGGGGUGGGUUGGAAGCUGCACCUUUUGGCUGCUGCUCCGGUCUCUGGCACCCUCACCUUUAGAGACAACGUGAUGCUUUAAAAUAAGCACUGGCAGAUUAAUCCUCUAUGUAUUUCUGGUCCUAUAACGCAUGCAAUUCGACCUGCAAGAUAAAUAGAUUGUAACACUUUUAUAAAUCAACAUUUUACACAACACAUCCUGCUUCUGUGAGCUAACCUUGUCUUCAGAGCUGACAAAUCCCAGCACCAUCGCUCUGAAGCAUUGAAAUGGUGAGACAGCAAUCUACUUAGCCAGAAUGUACCUCUGAAAAUAAGUAUUUAAAACUGUACAAUGCAUCUGGAGUUGAUUUAUGAAAUAGUCAGGAGUUAAAAAUUUUAUAUAUUAGCAAAAAUAACUAGACCUUUAAAACCAAGAAGCCUUCAGGCUGUAGUGAAAAAAUCAUUGAUGUAGGAAAAGCAUCUGUAUUUUGAUGACAGUACUGUCACACGCAGGGAAAAAAAAUCAUAAAACAGUUUUCCCUUUCCCGUAGAUAAAUAAGAGAGAAAAACCUUGCAAUUUUGCACCAGCUGCGUGAAAUGCUUUCUAGUGAAGCGUUCGCAUUUUAACUUUCGAUUAUUAACGAUCCAGCCUUAUAUUGCCGCAUGAAAACGCCCGCUUCUUCGCAGAGAAAAUAAAGAGAAUAAUAACAAACAAAAGCAAGUCCCCGGCCGGCAGGGUCUGCAGCCUGCGCGGGGCUGCCCGCGGCCCGGGCUGCGGCGGGAGCGCUGCCCGCGGCCCGGAGGGAGCCCGCGGUGCCGCUCACCUGCGCGGCCAGGGCGGGACGGGCCGGGCCCCGCAUCGCCGCUCAGCCACGGACUUACCCCAGCGCCCUCUGCGCGUACAGCCUUUCUUUUCUUUUUUUCCUAAUAAAAAUACUAAUG
Molecule: long non-coding RNA, 4481 nt
Organism: Motacilla alba alba
Lineage: Eukaryota; Metazoa; Chordata; Aves; Passeriformes; Motacillidae
Exons: 2
Source: RefSeq, a predicted model, not a curated record